UAAUCAACACCUGAAAAGCAGCAUUUGNGAUU
Molecule: non-coding RNA, 32 nt
Filed under: Rattus norvegicus (Norway rat)
Lineage: Eukaryota; Metazoa; Chordata; Mammalia; Rodentia; Muridae
Source: RNAcentral